GCCUGGCUAGCUCAGUAGGUAGAGCAUGAGACUUAGUCUCAGGGUUGUGGGUUCGUGCCCCAUGUUGGACA
This 71-nucleotide transfer RNA is filed under the name Cavia porcellus (domestic guinea pig). Its description in RNAcentral is "tRNA-Sup (TTA) (tRNA-Sup-TTA-1-1)". It matches the Rfam family "tRNA". Rfam says of the family: Transfer RNA (tRNA) molecules are approximately 80 nucleotides in length. Their secondary structure includes four short double-helical elements and three loops (D, anti-codon, and T loops). Lineage: Eukaryota; Metazoa; Chordata; Mammalia; Rodentia; Caviidae. The record is from Rfam by way of RNAcentral.